CAGCAGCCACGGGAAUACGUAGGGUGCAAGCGUUAAUCGGAAUUACUGGGCGUAAAGCGUGCGCAGGCGGUUAUAUAAGACAGAUGUGAAAUCCCCGGGCUCAACCUGGGAACUGCAUUUGUGACUGUAUAGCUAGAGUACGGCAGAGGGGGAUGGAAUUCCGCGUGUAGCAGUGAAAUGCGUAGAUAUGCGGAGGAACACCGAUGGCGAAGGCAAUCCCCUGGGCCUGUACUGACGCUCAUGCACGAAAGCGUGGGGAGCAAACAGGAUUAGAUACCCCUGUAGUCCCUGUCUCUUAUAA
This 301-nucleotide ribosomal RNA is filed under the name uncultured bacterium. RNAcentral's name for it is "partial 16S ribosomal RNA". It matches the Rfam family "Bacterial small subunit ribosomal RNA", at positions 509 to 809 of the family's 1533-position model. The record is from RNAcentral.